Molecule: unclassified non-coding RNA, 165 nt
Filed under: soil metagenome
Description: partial internal transcribed spacer 1
Source: RNAcentral
GAAAAUAGCCAGCCUGGCUGGUAUAUAAUUCUAUCCACCUUGUGUGCAAACAAUGGAAAAGAAAGAGAGAAUAUUGGAUGCUUUUUUGUAUCCAACCUCUCUAAAGUUUUACAAACUCCAUCAAAUUUUGAAAUAAAACUAUUUUUUUUAAUAAAAAAUAUUAUA